GGUCCAAUAGCUCAGUUGGAUAGAGCAACAGCCUUCUAAGCUGUGGGUCGCAGGUUCGAAUCCUGCUUGGAUCA
This 74-nucleotide transfer RNA is filed under the name Bacteroidota bacterium. Its description in RNAcentral is "Bacteroidetes bacterium (cold seep metagenome) tRNA-Arg". It matches the Rfam family "tRNA". Rfam says of the family: Transfer RNA (tRNA) molecules are approximately 80 nucleotides in length. Lineage: Bacteria; Pseudomonadati; Bacteroidota. The record is from RNAcentral. RNAcentral also lists the same sequence under 2 other names.